CCUACGGGGGGCAGCAGUGAGGAAUAUUGGUCAAUGGGCGGAAGCCUGAACCAGCCAAGUAGCGUGCAGGAUGACGGCCCUACGGGUUGUAAACUGCUUUUAUACGGGAAUAACGCGCCUUACGUGUAGGGCUUUGCAUGUACUGUAUGAAUAAGGACCGGCUAAUUCCGUGCCAGCAGCCGCGGUAAUACGGAAGGUCCGGGCGUUAUCCGGAUUUAUUGGGUUUAAAGGGAGCGUAGGUGGCUUGUCAAGUCUGCUGUGAAAUGUCCGGGCUCAACCCGGGCCUUGCAGCGGAAACUGGCGGGCUUGAGUCCGCGGAAGGCAGGCGGAAUUCGUGGUGUAGCGGUGAAAUGCUUAGAUAUGACGAAGAACCCCGAUUGCGAAGGCAGCUUGCUGCAGCGGAACUGACGCUGAUGCUCGAAAGCGCGGGUAUCGAACAGGAUUAGAUACCCCUGUAGUC
RNAcentral lists this ribosomal RNA (460 nucleotides) under uncultured bacterium. Its description in RNAcentral is "partial 16S ribosomal RNA". It matches the Rfam family "Bacterial small subunit ribosomal RNA", at positions 338 to 795 of the family's 1533-position model. The record is from RNAcentral.